GAAGAACCUUACCAGGUCUUGACAUCCUCUGACAACCCUAGANAUAGGGCUUUCCCUUCNGGGACAGAGUGACAGGUGGUGCAUGGUUGUCGUCAGCUCGUGUCGUGAGAUGUUGGGUUAAGUCCCGCAACGAGCGCAACCCUUGAUNUUAGUUGCCAGCAUUCAGUUGGGCACUCUAAGGUGACUGCCGGUGACAAACCGGAGGAAGGUGGGGAUGACGUCAAAUCAUCAUGCCCCUUAUGACCUGGGCUACACACGUGCUACAAUGGACAGAACAAAGGGCUGCGAGACCGCAAGGUUUAGCCAAUCCCACAAAUCUGUUCUCAGUUCGGAUCGCAGUCUGCAACUCGACUGCGUGAAGCUGGAAUCGCUAGUAAUCGCGGAUCAGCAUGCCGCGGUGAAUACGUUCCCGGGCCUUGUACACACCGCCCGUCACACCACGAGAGUUUGCAACACCCGAAGUCGGUGAGGUAACCUUUAUGGAGCCAGCCGCCGA
RNAcentral lists this ribosomal RNA (496 nucleotides) under Bacillus sp. (in: firmicutes). Its description in RNAcentral is "bacterial SSU rRNA". It matches the Rfam family "Bacterial small subunit ribosomal RNA", at positions 963 to 1459 of the family's 1533-position model. The record is from RNAcentral. Lineage: Bacteria; Bacillati; Bacillota; Bacilli; Caryophanales; Bacillaceae.